CUUGACGACCAUAGAGCAUUGGAACCACCUGAUCCCAUCCCGAACUCAGAAGUGAAACGAUGCAUCGC
This 68-nucleotide ribosomal RNA is filed under the name Pseudomonas sp. PDM07. Lineage: Bacteria; Pseudomonadati; Pseudomonadota; Gammaproteobacteria; Pseudomonadales; Pseudomonadaceae. The record is from RNAcentral.